This 618-nucleotide ribosomal RNA is filed under the name Trypanosoma vivax. Its description in RNAcentral is "9S ribosomal RNA". It matches the Rfam family "Trypanosomatid mitochondrial small subunit ribosomal RNA". Lineage: Eukaryota; Euglenozoa; Kinetoplastea; Trypanosomatida; Trypanosomatidae. The record is from RNAcentral.
AUUUAGUCAAUUGUUAUUAUUCAUAUUAAUUUUUUUUUAUGUUUUGUUUUUUUAUGUGUGUUUAUUUAUUUAAAAUUUUAUAAUUAUUAAAUUUUAGGAAUAGUUAAUAAUAAUUUAUGAUUUUGAUUAGAUAGGUUUGUUAAUGCUAUAUAAUAGGUGUGGAAAAAAUUAAAAAUAAAAGAAAUAAUAAAUAUAAUAAAUAAAAUAUAAUUAGUCAGUCAGAAAUGGAUGCCAGCCGUUGCGGUAAUUUCUAUGCUUUUAAAUAUUAUACAUUUAUCAAAUUAAAUUGUUAUAAUCAAAUUUAACCAAUAAAAAAUAAAUAAUAAUAUAUUUUAUUUGUUUUAAACACCAUUUGGUAUAUGCAAAUAUAAAAUUAUAGUAAUUAUAUAUUAUAUUCUAUUAUAUUUAUUCAUAUAGAUAGUUGUGUUGUAUUUUUUAUAUUUGACACCAUGAUAAGGUUUCUAGUUUGGGUAUGUAUAUUUCAUUCUCAAAAAUAUUUUUUUAUAUUAAAUUUUUGAUAUGUAGAUAAAAUAUUAAAUUAAAAGGUAUUGUUGCCCACCAAUUUUUAUAAUAAAAAUAACGUGCAGUAAUUAAUAUAUUUAUAAAAUAUAUUCGAUA